RNAcentral lists this long non-coding RNA (1860 nucleotides) under Salmo salar (Atlantic salmon). RNAcentral's name for it is "lncRNA (ENSSSAG00000094586.1)". The record is from RNAcentral. Lineage: Eukaryota; Metazoa; Chordata; Actinopteri; Salmoniformes; Salmonidae.
ACUGGGUGUCUGGACCUAUAGAGUGUUGUUCCUUCUGCUGAGUUUCUAUCAUGAUCAGAAUGAGAGCACACAGGAGUCCAUGCAUGAUCUUAACAACUAGGCGGAGGCCCUGGGAGGGGAGCGGCGGGCGUCCAUCUUGUUCCUAUGUUUCACACUGGAGCACCUGCGCCAUCGCUGUCUGUCCUGACUGGACCAACCAAUUAUAGUGGAGCUCCUUAGCUCCCAGGAUACACCUCACCACCUCCCUGUCAGUCAAGGUGUGAAGGUGGUGCUUCUAGUGCUGUACCCUGAGAGGAAGGGCUCUGUCCAUGUAGACGAUUGGGGCCAAAUUAAGAAGAUGGUGAGCUCUGACCUGGGCUACAGGCUGGCCAGGUUUGACCCCUUAGCCAAGGCAGUGAGAGUGGACAGGGAGCUGGUCCACAGCUGCAUAGCAGGGCCAUGCCUCAGGACUACCUGGCAUGAUGACUCCUUGCUGUCCCCAGUCCACCUGGCCGUGCUGCUGCUCCAGUUUCAACUUUUCCGCCUGCGGCUAUAGAACCCUGACCUGUUCACCAGACAUGCUACCUGUCCCAGACCUGCUGUUUUCAACUCUCUAGAGAGUGGUAGAGAUACUCUCAAUGAUCGGCUAUGAAAAGCCAACUGACAUUUACUCUUGAGGUGCUGACUUGUUGCACCCUCGACAACUACUGUGAAUAUUAUUAUUUGACCAUGCUAGUCAUUUAUGAACAUUUGAACAUCUUAGCCAUGUUCUGUUAUAAUCUCCACUCGGCACAGCCAGAAGAGAACUGGCCACCCCUCAUAGCCUGGUUCCUCUCUAGGUUUCUUCCUCGGUUUUGGCCUUUCUAGGGAGUUUUUCCUAGCCACUGUGCUUCUACACCUGCAUUACUUGCUGUUUGGGGUUUUAGGCAGGGUUUCUGUACAGCACUUUGAGAUAUCAGCUGAUGUAAGAAGGGCUAUAUAAAUUGAUUUGAUUUGAUUUGAUGUUUGAAUCCCCGAGCUGACUAGGUGUAAAAUCUGUUCAUGUGCCCUUGAGCAAGGCACUUAACCAUAAUUGCUCCUUUAAGUCGCUCUGGAUAAGAGCAUCUGCUAAAUGACUCAAAUGUAAAUGUACUCAAUGGAGAGCAGUUUAAUGGAGUAAUACAUCUAAUCAAUUAUCAUUUUAGCUGCAGCGUAGGUUGUGUCUGAGUGGGUGGAGACCUGUGGAUGGGCAUAGAGUCAGUGUGGAUAGUCUGUGGGAGAGGAGCAGUAGUUGGCCAUUUAACAGUCUUAUGGCCAGGGGAUAGAAGCUGUUUAGGAGUCUGUUUGUCUGAGCCUUGAUGCACCAUUACCGCCUCCCGGACGGGAGCACGGAGAACAGUCCAUGUCCUAGGUGGCCUUUCUCAGACACUGCCUGGCAUGUACAUCCUGGAUGGCUGGGAGCUCGCCUCGGUGAUGUGCUGGGCCAUCUGCAACACGCUCUGUAGGGCCUUCCAGUUGCGGGCGGUGCAGUUGUCAUACCAGAUGGGGUGAUUACAACCAGUCAGGAUGCUCUCAAUGGUGCACCUGUAAAAUUUCCUGAGGAUCUGAGAGGCCAUGCCAAAUAGUUUCAGCCUCCUGAGGGAGAAGAGGCGUUGCCAUGCCUUCAUGAUUGUUCUGGUGGCACUAAAGAGAAUGACCAUGCUAGUAAGGGUAAAAAAGCCUAUAGCAUUCUCAACAUAUACUGUACAUGUAGAUGAUCAACUUACUCUAUCCCUCUCUCUUCCUUUCUUUGCCUGAGAAACUUAAGAGCUGAGACCUCCGGCAAACAAGCAGCAUUGUAUUGGCACAGUUACUUUGCUACAGUGCCAGUAUUUGAACAAGCUCCCUUGUGAUGUUCUCCCA